GGCACUGUAGCAUAGCGGUAAGGAGCAGGGCUUGUAACUGAAAGGUUGCUGGUUCAAUUCCUGGCUGGGGCA
RNAcentral lists this transfer RNA (72 nucleotides) under Megalops atlanticus (tarpon). RNAcentral's name for it is "tRNA-OTHER". Lineage: Eukaryota; Metazoa; Chordata; Actinopteri; Elopiformes; Megalopidae. The record is from RNAcentral.